CCUACGGGUGGCUGCAGUGGGGAAUUGUUCGCAAUGGGCGCAAGCCUGACGACGCAACGCCGCGUGGGGGAUGAAGGUCUUCGGAUUGUAAACCCCUGUUGGGUGGGACGAACACCGGGAUGGUGAACAGCCAUGUCGACUGACGGUACCACCUGAGGAAGCCCCGGCUAACUCUGUGCCAGCAGCCGCGGUAAUACAGAGGGGGCAAGCGUUGUUCGGAAUUACUGGGCGUAAAGGGCGCGUAGGCGGCCUGUUAAGUCGGACGUGAAAUCCCU
This 275-nucleotide ribosomal RNA is filed under the name uncultured bacterium. RNAcentral's name for it is "partial 16S ribosomal RNA". It matches the Rfam family "Bacterial small subunit ribosomal RNA", at positions 338 to 604 of the family's 1533-position model. The record is from RNAcentral.